This 253-nucleotide ribosomal RNA is filed under the name uncultured bacterium. Its description in RNAcentral is "partial 16S ribosomal RNA". It matches the Rfam family "Bacterial small subunit ribosomal RNA", at positions 524 to 776 of the family's 1533-position model. The record is from RNAcentral.
UACGUAGGUGCCAAGCGUUGUCCGGAUUUACUGGGUGUAAAGGGCGCGUAGGCGGGAUAGCAAGUCAGUCGUGAAAUGCCGAGGCUUAACCUCGGAGCUGCGAUUGAAACUGUUAUUCUUGAGUGUCGGAGAGGCAAGUGGAAUUCCUGGUGUAGCGGUGAAAUGCGUAGAUAUCAGGAGGAACACCAGUGGCGAAGGCGGCUUGCUGGACGAUGACUGACGUUGAGGCUCGAAAGCGUGGGGAGCAAACAGG